This is a long non-coding RNA of Ictalurus punctatus (channel catfish), 828 nucleotides long. The record is from Ensembl. NCBI's taxonomy places the organism in Eukaryota, Metazoa, Chordata, Actinopteri, Siluriformes, Ictaluridae.
GGCGUGUCCUCUGUCUGUGUUUAUGUCACAGUGAAGGAGGCGUGGCCUCUGUGCCUGAGCAUGUCAGUCACAGUGAAGGAGGCGUGUCCUCUGUCUGUGUUUAUGUCACAGUGAAGGAGGCGUGGCCUCUGUGCCUGAGCAUGUCAGUCACAGUGAAGGAGGCGUGGCCUCUGUGCCUGUGUUUGUUAGUCACAGUGAAGGAGGUGUGGCCUCUGUGUCUGUGCAUGUCAGUUACAGUGAAGGAGGCGUGGCCUCUGUGUCUGUGCUCGUCAGUCACAGUGAAGGAGGCGUGGCCUCUGUGUCUGUGCUUGUCAGUCACAGUGAAGGAGGCGUAUCCUCUGUGCCUGUGUUUGUCAGUCACAGUGAAGGAGGCGUGGCCUCUGUGCCUGUGUUUGUCAGUCACAGUGAAGGAGGCGUGGCCUCUGUGCCUGUGUUUGUCAGUCACAGUGAAGGAGGUGUGGCCUCUGUGCCUGUAUAGCUGCCUAGGGAGUCUUGUUAGAGCAGAUUCGAUGUGUUCUAGUGUUCGAGACAGAGCUGCUUCUCUCUGCUGGUUUGUGAUGUGGCGUUUCUUCAUCCUGACUGAUCACACCUGAAUACGAGAGCAGCUGGAAUGAGUUUAAUGAGGAGUGAAGGACAAGAGUUCCCGUUUAGAAUCAGAAACACGAGGGAGAAGACUGAAAAGAGACUGUCCUCACACGCUCGCUCUCUCUUUUGUAAUCUCCUAGCAGCACCAGCGCUCUGACUGCAUUGCUGCUGAAGCACUAACGCGCUGUUUGUGAUGGAAAAAGACAAAUAAGUACUCGGCCUUUUGUCAUUGAGGGUAAAAAC